AGCGAACGCUGGCGGCAGGCUUAACACAUGCAAGUCGAGCGGGCGUAGCAAUACGUCAGCGGCAGACGGGUGAGUAACGCGUGGGAACGUACCUUUGGUUCGGAACAACACAGGGAAACUUGUGCUAAUACCGGAUAAGCCCUUACGGGGAAAGAUUUAUCGCCGAAAGAUCGGCCCGCGUCUGAUUAGCUAGUUGGUGAGGUAACGGCUCACCAAGGCGACGAUCAGUAGCUGGUCUGAGAGGAUGAUCAGCCACAUUGGGACUGAGACACGGCCCAAACUCCUACGGGAGGCAGCAGUGGGGAAUAUUGGACAAUGGGGGGCAACCCUGAUCCAGCCAUGCCGCGUGAGUGAUGAAGGCCCUAGGGUUGUAAAGCUCUUUUGUGCGGGAAGAUAAUGACGGUACCGCAAGAAUAAGCCCCGGCUAACUUCGUGCCAGCAGCCGCGGU
Molecule: ribosomal RNA, 449 nt
Filed under: uncultured bacterium
Lineage: Bacteria
Description: bacterial SSU rRNA
Rfam family: Bacterial small subunit ribosomal RNA
Source: RNAcentral